GGGCCCGCACAAGCGGAGGAACAUGUGGUUUAAUUCGAUGAUACGCGAGGAACCUUACCCGGGUUUGAACGCAUUUGGACCGACCUUGAAAGAGGUUUUCUAGCAAUAGCCAUUUGCGAGGUGCUGCAUGGUUGUCGUCAGCUCGUGCCGUGAGGUGUCGGCUUAAGUGCCAUAACGAGCGCAACCCUUACCGUUAGUUACCAUCAAGUAGUGUUGGGGACUCUAGCGGGACUGCCAGCGUAAGCUGUGAGGAAGGUGGGGAUGACGUCAAAUCAGCACGGCCCUUACAUCCGGGGCGACACACGUGUUACAAUGGGGGGGACAAAGGGCAGCCACUAUGCGAGUAGGAGCCAAUCUCUAAACCCUCUCUCAGUUCGGAUCGAAGUCUGCAACUCGACUUCGUGAAGCUGGAUUCGCUAGUAAUCGCGCAUCAGCCAUGGCG
This 442-nucleotide ribosomal RNA is filed under the name uncultured Bacteroidota bacterium. RNAcentral describes it as "bacterial SSU rRNA". It matches the Rfam family "Bacterial small subunit ribosomal RNA", at positions 917 to 1359 of the family's 1533-position model. The record is from RNAcentral. Lineage: Bacteria; Pseudomonadati; Bacteroidota.